GACGAACCGAGCGAACGUUAUUCGGAAUCACUGGGCUUAAAGGGUGCGUAGGCGGGCUGUCAAGUCUGGGGUGAAAUCCGGCAGCUUAACUGUCGAACUGCCUCAGAUACUGAUGGCCUCGAGGGAGGUAGGGGCAUGCGGAACUGUAGGUGGAGCGGUGAAAUGCGUUGAUAUCCACAGGAACUCCGGUGGCGAAAGCGGCGUGCUGGACCUCUUCUGACGCUGAGGCACGAAAGCUAGGGGAGCAAACGGG
This 253-nucleotide ribosomal RNA is filed under the name uncultured Gemmata sp. RNAcentral describes it as "partial 16S ribosomal RNA". It matches the Rfam family "Bacterial small subunit ribosomal RNA", at positions 524 to 776 of the family's 1533-position model. The record is from RNAcentral. Lineage: Bacteria; Pseudomonadati; Planctomycetota; Planctomycetia; Gemmatales; Gemmataceae.